GAAAUGGUUUUUUUAAAAACCACUGAUAAAAAUAAGCAGCAAGGUGG
Mustela putorius furo (domestic ferret) is the source of this 47-nucleotide non-coding RNA. The record is from Rfam. NCBI's taxonomy places the organism in Eukaryota, Metazoa, Chordata, Mammalia, Carnivora, Mustelidae.